GUUGCGGUGGCAGAGCCUGGCCCACUGCAAAAGACCUAAGCCCUUUCAACAGAGGUUCAAGUCCUCUCCCCAACU
Molecule: transfer RNA, 75 nt
Filed under: Clinocottus analis (woolly sculpin)
Lineage: Eukaryota; Metazoa; Chordata; Actinopteri; Perciformes; Cottidae
Description: tRNA-Leu
Rfam family: tRNA
About the family: Transfer RNA (tRNA) molecules are approximately 80 nucleotides in length. Their secondary structure includes four short double-helical elements and three loops (D, anti-codon, and T loops).
Source: RNAcentral